AGCAGCAGCCGCGGGAACACGAAGGGUGCAAGCGUUAAUCGGAAUUACUGGGCGUAAAGCGCGCGUAGGUGGUUUGGUAAGAUGGAUGUGAAAUCCCCGGGCUCAACCUGGGAACUGCAUCCAUAACUGCCUGACUAGAGUACGGUAGAGGGUGGUGGAAUUUCCUGUGUAGCGGUGAAAUGCGUAGAUAUAGGAAGGAACACCAGUGGCGAAGGCGACCACCUGGACUGAUACUGACACUGAGGUGCGAAAGCGUGGGGAGCAAACAGGAUUAGAUACCCCAGUAGUCCCUGUCUCUUAUAC
This 303-nucleotide ribosomal RNA is filed under the name uncultured bacterium. RNAcentral describes it as "partial 16S ribosomal RNA". It matches the Rfam family "Bacterial small subunit ribosomal RNA", at positions 507 to 807 of the family's 1533-position model. The record is from RNAcentral.